UCCCGUAGUAAGUGACAACAACGAAAAGGACCCAUCGUUAACGGAUAGGUGCGUCAGUGACAUUUUUGGAGAAAAAAGUAGGGCAUUCCUGUAAUCAUGACAUGAUAAUGGAAUACAAAUGAGAGCUUCUAGUUUUAAUCCUGUAUAAGCAAAUCAAAGUGUGCAAUGGGUGAUUGUGGCUUGCUGUGGAGUGUUAUGUGGGCAGUGAUUCUGAUCGUGUUUGGAUGGCCGAUUGGACUGAUUUGUGCGUUAUUUUAUUGUCUCCUUAGUCCGUGUGCUGCCUGUUGUCAAAGCUGCGCAGAACUGAUAAACUUACUGGACCGUGGUGUGAAAUUACCCUUGACGUGUUCUCAAAACAUGGUGACUGGAAAGUCAAUGUGUUAAUUUUUUUUCUCGUGUUUCAAGACCAUGACGGAUACUUGUUUUACUUUUGAAAGUGUCAUUUUUUU
Long non-coding RNA from Saccostrea echinata, 449 nucleotides. RefSeq lists it as uncharacterized. NCBI's taxonomy places the organism in Eukaryota, Metazoa, Mollusca, Bivalvia, Ostreida, Ostreidae. The transcript has 2 exons. The record is from RefSeq and is a predicted model, not a curated record.